This 930-nucleotide ribosomal RNA is filed under the name Arthothelium orbilliferum. RNAcentral's name for it is "SSU rRNA". It matches the Rfam family "Bacterial small subunit ribosomal RNA", at positions 368 to 1177 of the family's 1533-position model. Lineage: Eukaryota; Fungi; Ascomycota; Arthoniomycetes; Arthoniales; Arthoniaceae. The record is from RNAcentral.
UCAAUGGCCUAACGGCUGAACCAGCAACUUGGGUGAACGCAAAAGCAUGAUGUUUAUAUAAAUAUCAUGUAGUUUUUUUGACUGAGUGUCGGCUAUCUUUAAUAGAGCUUUUAGUUCUAUGGAUAGUAAGGGAUUUUGGUCCCUUUUUUGAAAGCUUCGGCUAUUAGCGGUUUACGCGCAUAAAGUUCUAUAUGGAAUACAGAUAAUGACUAUUUUCUAUAUAUAAGUCUUGACUAAAACACGUGCCAGCAGUCGCGGUAACACGGCAUAGACAAGUGUUAUUCAUCUUUAAUAGGUUUAAAGGGUACCUAGACGGCAGAUUUAGCCUCCAUUGAAUUGGAAUGGUACAUUUUUGCUAGAGUUUUAUGUGAGAGGAUUUUAGUACUAACAGAGUAGAGAUGAUAUUCUUUGAUACUGUAGGGCACUGAUAGCGGCGAAGGCAGACCUUUAUGUAAAAACUGACGUUGAGGGACGAAGGCUUGGGUAACGAACAGGAUUAGGUACCCUAGUAGUCCGGGCAGAGACUGAUGAGUGCCAUAGAUUGGAAAAUGUUUGAUCUAUAAAUGAAAGUGAAAGCACUCCACCUUAAGAGUAAUGCGGCAACGCAGGAACUGAAAUCAUUAGACCGUUUCUGAUAUCAGUAGUGAAGUAUGUUGUUUAAUUCGAUAACCCACGAAAAACCUUACCACAAUUUGAAUAUUAUAAUAACCAAUCUCUUACUUUAAACUAGGGAUUUAGGAAAGUCUUUUAAUAAUUAUAUUAUUAUUUGAUUAAAGUGUUAAUAAUACAGGUGUUGCAUGGCUGUCUUCAGUUGAUGUCGUGAGAUGCAGGUUAGCUCCAGUAAAUCAACGUGAACCCUUGCUUUAUUUUAGGCGGGGUUACAGCCCGCUUACAUAGAGUAGUUCCCCGGUAUAUCGGACAGAUAACAGG